This 497-nucleotide ribosomal RNA is filed under the name uncultured bacterium. Its description in RNAcentral is "partial 16S ribosomal RNA". It matches the Rfam family "Bacterial small subunit ribosomal RNA", at positions 28 to 507 of the family's 1533-position model. The record is from RNAcentral.
GAUGAACGCUGGCGGCGUGCCUAAUACAUGCAAGUCGAGCGAACAGACGAGGAGCUUGCUCCUUUGACGUUAGCGGCGGACGGGUGAGUAACACGUGGGUAACCUACCUAUAAGACUGGGAUAACUUCGGGAAACCGGAGCUAAUACCGGAUAAUACUUCGAACCGCAUGGUUCGAUAGUGAAAGAUGGCUUUGCUAUCACUUAUAGAUGGACCUGCGCCGUAUUAGCUAGUUGGUAAGGUAACGGCUUACCAAGGCAACGAUACGUAGCCGACCUGAGAGGGUGAUCGGCCACACUGGAACUGAGACACGGUCCAGACUCCUACGGGAGGCAGCAGUAGGGAAUCUUCCGCAAUGGGCGAAAGCCUGACGGAGCAACGCCGCGUGAGUGAUGAAGGUCUUCGGAUCGUAAAACUCUGUUAUUAGGGAAGAACAAACGUGUAAGUAACUGUGCACGUCUUGACGGUACCUAAUCAGAAAGCCACGGCUAACUACGUG